GGUUCCAUAGCGUAAGGGUUAACGCGCCGCGAAUGCCUGUUGAGACCAAGGAUUUUCAGCGGAGACUCCGGAUUCGAUUCCUGGCGGGGCCG
Non-coding RNA from Mycena maculata, 92 nucleotides. Lineage: Eukaryota; Fungi; Basidiomycota; Agaricomycetes; Agaricales; Mycenaceae. The record is from the annotation of a GenBank genome assembly.